GAUGAACGCUGGCGGCGUGCCUAAUACGUGCAAGUCGAGCGAACAGAUAAGGAGCUUGCUCCUUUGAAGUUAGCGGCGGACGGGUGAGUAACACGUGGGUAACCUACCUAUAAGACUGGGAUAACUUCGGGAAACCGGAGCUAAUACCGGAUAACAUGUAGAACCGCAUGGUUCUAAAGUGAAAGAUGGUUUUGCUAUCACUUAUAGAUGGACCCGCGCCGUAUUAGCUAGUUGGUAAGGUAACGGCUUACCAAGGCGACGAUACGUAGCCGACCUGAGAGGGUGAUCGGCCACACUGGAACUGAGACACGGUCCAGACUCCUACGGGAGGCAGCAGUAGGGAAUCUUCCGCAAUGGGCGAAAGCCUGACGGAGCAACGCCGCGUGAGUGAUGAAGGGUUUCGGCUCGUAAAACUCUGUUAUUAGGGAAGAACAAAUGUGUAAGUAACUGUGCACAUCUUGACGGUACCUAAUCAGAAAGCCACGGCUAACUACGUGCCAGCAGCCGCGGUAAUACGUAGGUGGCAAGCGUUAUCCGGAAUUAUUGGGCGUAAAGCGCGCGUAGGCGGUUUCUUAAGUCUGAUGUGAAAGCCCACGGCUCAACCGUGGAGGGUCAUUGGAAACUGGGAAACUUGAGUGCAGAAGAGGAAAGUGGAAUUCCAUGUGUAGCGGUGAAAUGCGCAGAGAUAUGGAGGAACACCAGUGGCGAAGGCGACUUUCUGGUCUGUAACUGACGCUGAUGUGCGAAAGCGUGGGGAUCAAACAGGAUUAGAUACCCUGGUAGUCCACGCCGUAAACGAUGAGUGCUAAGUGUUAGGGGGUUUCCGCCCCUUAGUGCUGCAGCUAACGCAUUAAGCACUCCGCCUGGGGAGUACGACCGCAAGGUUGAAACUCAAAGGAAUUGACGGGGACCCGCACAAGCGGUGGAGCAUGUGGUUUAAUUCGAAGCAACGCGAAGAACCUUACCAAAUCUUGACAUCCUUUGAAAACUCUAGAGAUAGAGCCUUCCCCUUCGGGGGACAAAGUGACAGGUGGUGCAUGGUUGUCGUCAGCUCGUGUCGUGAGAUGUUGGGUUAAGUCCCGCAACGAGCGCAACCCUUAAGCUUAGUUGCCAUCAUUAAGUUGGGCACUCUAGGUUGACUGCCGGUGACAAACCGGAGGAAGGUGGGGAUGACGUCAAAUCAUCAUGCCCCUUAUGAUUUGGGCUACACACGUGCUACAAUGGACAAUACAAAGGGCAGCUAAACCGCGAGGUCAUGCAAAUCCCAUAAAGUUGUUCUCAGUUCGGAUUGUAGUCUGCAACUCGACUACAUGAAGCUGGAAUCGCUAGUAAUCGUAGAUCAGCAUGCUACGGUGAAUACGUUCCCGGGUCU
RNAcentral lists this ribosomal RNA (1372 nucleotides) under uncultured bacterium. Its description in RNAcentral is "bacterial SSU rRNA". It matches the Rfam family "Bacterial small subunit ribosomal RNA", at positions 28 to 1381 of the family's 1533-position model. The record is from RNAcentral.